UUCGUCUGUGACUCUCUUUUUUUAUUUUCUUUUCUUUUUUUUGACCCAUUUCAACCCUUCCCUGUCAUUUCUCUUUCUCCACUUUCCUUACCUAAGCCUUUCUCCUCCCUCUUCACCCACCUUGGUUGCCCCUCUCUCAGAUCUGCUUCGAAGACGGCUGUAAGGACUGAGAUUUUUUCAGUGCUACUAAACUCUCUGUUGAUGAUGUUUAUGUGUGUAAUUUAACUAUAUAAGCACUCGUCAAGUUUCAGGAGAAAAUGAGCUAAAACGGAGAAGGUACGCGAUUAUUAGUUUUCACUUAAGUGAAUAGUAACUCCGGUUUUUCGGUGAAGCCACGGAGUAGAGUUGGCUAUCUACGCGUAUCGGACUCUAUUCAUAGCGAUCCAAUAGCUCGUUUCGACCGGUUCAGCUAUUCUGGAACUACUGGCGCUGACAGAUUU
Molecule: long non-coding RNA, 440 nt
Filed under: Ananas comosus (pineapple)
Lineage: Eukaryota; Viridiplantae; Streptophyta; Magnoliopsida; Poales; Bromeliaceae
Description: long non-coding RNA (ACOM_LNC042406)
Source: RNAcentral